GCCUCGAUGGCGCAGUGGUAACGCGUCGCACUUGUAAUGCGAAGAUCCCUAGUUCAAUUCUGGGUCGAGGCA
Molecule: transfer RNA, 72 nt
Filed under: Ascocoryne sarcoides NRRL 50072
Lineage: Eukaryota; Fungi; Ascomycota; Leotiomycetes; Helotiales; Gelatinodiscaceae
Description: tRNA-Thr (TGT) (tRNA-Thr-TGT-1-1)
Rfam family: tRNA
About the family: Transfer RNA (tRNA) molecules are approximately 80 nucleotides in length. Their secondary structure includes four short double-helical elements and three loops (D, anti-codon, and T loops). Further hydrogen bonds mediate the characteristic L-shaped molecular structure. tRNAs have two regions of fundamental functional importance: the anti-codon, which is responsible for specific mRNA codon recognition, and the 3' end, to which the tRNAs corresponding amino acid is attached (by aminoacyl-tRNA synthetases). tRNAs cope with the degeneracy of the genetic code in two manners: having more than one tRNA (with a specific anti-codon) for a particular amino acid; and 'wobble' base-pairing, i.e. permitting non-standard base-pairing at the 3rd anti-codon position.
Source: RNAcentral